This 407-nucleotide ribosomal RNA is filed under the name uncultured bacterium. RNAcentral's name for it is "partial 16S ribosomal RNA". It matches the Rfam family "Bacterial small subunit ribosomal RNA", at positions 32 to 526 of the family's 1533-position model. The record is from RNAcentral.
AUUCAACGCUGGCGGCAGGCCUAACACAUGCAAGUCGAGCGGAGCGGCGGACGGGUGAGUAAUGCCUAGGACUCUGCCUGGUAGUGGGGGAUAACGUCCGGAAACGGGCGCUAAUACCGCAUACUACCAGAUGAGCCUAGGUCGGAUUCGCAAGUUGGUGGGGUAAAGGCCUACCAAGGCGGCGAUCCGUAACUGGUCUGAGAGGAUGAUCAGUCACACUGAAAUUGAGACCCGUCCCAGACUCCUACGGUAGGCAGGAUUGGUGAAUAUGGCACAAUGGGCGAAAGCCUGAUCCAGCCAUGCCGCGUGUGUUAAGAAGGUCUUCGGAUUGUAAAGUACUUUAAGUUAGGAGGCGUUACCAACAGGAUAAGCACCGGCUAGCGUCGUGCCAGCGGGAGCGGUAAUUC